RNAcentral lists this ribosomal RNA (485 nucleotides) under uncultured bacterium. RNAcentral's name for it is "partial 16S ribosomal RNA". It matches the Rfam family "Bacterial small subunit ribosomal RNA", at positions 29 to 507 of the family's 1533-position model. The record is from RNAcentral.
AUUGAACGCUGGCGGCAUGCCUUACACAUGCAAGUCGAACGGCAGCACGGGUGCUUGCACCUGGUGGCGAGUGGCGAACGGGUGAGUAAUACAUCGGAACGUACCUUAUCGUGGGGGAUAACGCAGCGAAAGUUGCGCUAAUACCGCAUACGCCCUGAGGGGGAAAGCGGGGGCCCGUAAGGCCUCGCGCGAUUAGAGCGGCCGAUGUCUGAUUAGCUUGUUGGUGAGGUAAACGCUCACCAAGGCGAUGAUCAGUAGCUGGUCUGAGAGGACGAUCAGCCACACUGGAACUGAGACACGACCCAGACACCAACGGGAGGCAGCAGUGGGAAAUUUUGGACAAGGGGGUAAACCCUGAUCCAGCAAAGCGGGGUGAGUGAAGAAGGCCUUCGGGUUGUAAAGCUCUUUAGUCGGGGAAGAAACAGCAGCUCUAACACAGGCUGAGAAUGACGGUACCUGAAGAAUAAGCACCGGCUAACUACGUG